RNAcentral lists this unclassified non-coding RNA (623 nucleotides) under Hevea brasiliensis (rubber tree). Lineage: Eukaryota; Viridiplantae; Streptophyta; Magnoliopsida; Malpighiales; Euphorbiaceae. The record is from RNAcentral.
AAAAUCAUGAAAUUUCUAACAAAGAUGAAUUCUCACCGAGGAUUAAGCCGCUGCAAAAUUACCAUGUUCCCACUGGAAACAGUGAUCGACUGAAGAGGGAUGAAUGGAGUGAAGGAGCAGUUUCGUGUCUUCUCGAAGCUUAUGAAGCUAAAUGGAUACUCCGUAACAGAGCGAAGCUCAAGGGACAGGAUUGGGAGGAUGUGGCCAAGCACGUGUCGGCGCGUGUUUAUUCAACUAAAUCCCCCAAAACUCAGACGCAGUGUAAGAACAAAAUCGAAUCUAUGAAGAAGAGGUACCGAUCGGAAUCCGCAACCGCCGCCGAUGCUUCUUCCUGGCCGCUCUAUCCUCGCCUUGACCUAUUGUUACGUGGAAAUAAUGCAUCCGCGGCUUCCUCUUCGCUAAUUCCGCCGCCGCCGCUUCCGCCUAAUACUAAUUGUGUGAUUGAUGCCGUCGAACCACCACCACAGCAGCCAAUAUUACUACCUCCACCUCCGGCUACUCUUCCUCCUCCUCCUCCGCUCCCGCCGUCGCCGGCUUUGCCUUUUGGGAAUGGUGAUCAGAAUUCGCAUGGGUCUAAUGGUCUUGACAGAGGAAUAAAGGAAGACAUAUUAAUGGACGCCAAA